Molecule: non-coding RNA, 78 nt
Filed under: Gammaproteobacteria bacterium
Lineage: Bacteria; Pseudomonadati; Pseudomonadota; Gammaproteobacteria
Source: RNAcentral
UCCUGCCGUUGCGCCGAUUUGAUGAUCAGCUUGCGGGCGCGUUAAAAAUACGGCUAAAGCGGAGCGACCUGCUUUAGC